Molecule: long non-coding RNA, 280 nt
Filed under: Struthio camelus australis
Lineage: Eukaryota; Metazoa; Chordata; Aves; Struthioniformes; Struthionidae
Description: lncRNA (ENSSCUG00000009340.1)
Source: RNAcentral
AUGCCAUCCUCUAAUUAUCAGAGACUAAAAGGGCCAAGGACUGCACUCCAGCCACACACUCAAUAUUCUCACAGGCAUCACACCCACUUGCCAUUUCCUAGCAAUGACAGAAAAUCAAGAGGAAAAUCAGAAACGAUAUGGAAUGUCGGAACAGGAUUCUGCCUGAAAGCAGUGUACGCAAUGAAGAAGCCCAGCCUUUGGAGGAAUUGGUCUUAAGGGUUCUAAGUACCAGGGAGGACUGGAAGGAAUUUCGGGAAGACAUAACGUGUGUCUACAAAAG